ACUGGGUGCUGUGGUGCACACCUGUAAUCCCAGCAGCUCAGAGGCUGAGGCAGGAGGAUUAUGAGUUUAAGCCAGCCUCAGCAAUUUAACAAGGUUCUAAGCAAUUCAGUGAGACCCUGCUUCUA
This 125-nucleotide small RNA is filed under the name Marmota monax (woodchuck). Lineage: Eukaryota; Metazoa; Chordata; Mammalia; Rodentia; Sciuridae. The record is from RNAcentral.